RNAcentral lists this ribosomal RNA (1070 nucleotides) under uncultured bacterium. RNAcentral describes it as "bacterial SSU rRNA". It matches the Rfam family "Bacterial small subunit ribosomal RNA", at positions 338 to 1397 of the family's 1533-position model. The record is from RNAcentral.
CCUACGGGAGGCAGCAGUGGGGAAUAUUGCACAAUGGGCGCAAGCCUGAUGCAGCGACGUCGCGUGGAGGAUGAAGGUUUUCGGAUUGUAAACUCCUGUUAAACGGAAAGAAAGAGGCGGGGCUAAUAACCCUGUCAUGAUGACGUUACCGUUAAAGAAAGCACCGGCUAACUUCGUGCCAGCAGCCGCGGUAAUACGAAGGGUGCGAGCGUUAUUCGGAAUAACUGGGCGUAAAGGGCGCGUAGGCGGUAUCUUAAGUCGACGGUUAAAGACUAUGGCUUAACCAUGGAAGUGCCGGCGAUACUGGGAUGCUAGAGGGUAGUAGAGAGGAGUGGAAUUCUCGGAGUAGCGGUAAAAUGCGUAGAUCUCGAGAGGAACACCGAUGGCGAAGGCAGCUCCUUGGGCUACAACUGACGCUAAGGCGCGAAAGCGUGGGGAGCAAACAGGAUUAGAUACCCUGGUAGUCCACGCUGUAAACGAUGAUUACUGGAUAUAGGGCGUGCGUGCAUGCUCUGUGUCGAAGCUCACGCGUUAAGUAAUCCGCCUGGGAAGUACGGUCGCAAGAUUAAAACUCAAAGGAAUUGACGGGGGUCCGCACAAGCGGUGGAACAUGUGGUUUAAUUCGACACUACGCGAGAAACCUUACCUAGGCUUGACAUGUACUUGACCAUUAUAGAAAUAUGAUUUUCUGGGGUAACUCAGACGAGUACACAGGUGCUGCAUGGCUGUCGUCAGCUCGUGUCGUGAGAUGUUAGGUUAAGUCCUUUAACGAGCGCAACCCUUGCCGUUAGUUGCUCUGCGAAAGCAUGCACUCUAGCGGGACUGCCUUGGGAACAAGGAGGAAGGUGGGGAUGACUUCAAGUCCUCAUGGCCCUUAUGCCUAGGGCUACACACGUGUUACAAUGGGAAGUACAGAGCGAAGCAAGUCCGCGAGGAUGAGCAAAUCGCAGAAAACUUCUCUCAGUUCGGAUUGGAGUCUGCAACUCGACUCCAUGAAGUUGAAAUCGCUAGUAAUCGCGCAUCAGAACGGCGCGGUGAAUACGUUCUCGGACCUUGUACACACCGCCCGU